GACGAACGCUGGCGGCGUGCUUAACACAUGCAAGUCGAACGGUAAGGCCCUUCGGGGUACACGAGUGGCGAACGGGUGAGUAACACGUGGGUGAUCUGCCCUGCACUUCGGGAUAAGCCUGGGAAACUGGGCCUAAUACCGGAUAGGACCCUGGGAUGCAUGUCCUGGGGUGGAAAGCUUUUGCGGUGUGGGAUGGGCCCGCGGCCUAUCAGCUUGUUGGUGGGGUGAUGGCCUACCAAGGCGACGACGGGUAGCCGGCCUGAGAGGGUGACCGGCGACACUGGGACUGAGAUACGGCCCAGACUCCUACGGGAGGCAGCAGUGGGGAAUAUUGCUCAAUGGGCGCAAGCCUGAUGCAGCGACGCCGCGUGAGGGAUGACGGCCUUCGGGUUGUAAACCUCCUUCAGCACAGACGAAGCGCAAGUGACGGUAUGUGCAGAAGAAGGACCGGCCAACUACGUGCCAGCAGCCGCGGUAA
This 478-nucleotide ribosomal RNA is filed under the name uncultured bacterium. Its description in RNAcentral is "partial 16S ribosomal RNA". It matches the Rfam family "Bacterial small subunit ribosomal RNA", at positions 28 to 523 of the family's 1533-position model. The record is from RNAcentral.